ACACACACACACACACACACACACACACACACACAUGUAAUGUGUGGGUGUGUACAAGUAUUCUACACAAAUGCAAACUGUGUCUGGUCUCCUGCUAGCCUACUUUAUAUGUAUUGCUUUUGGAAGACUCAAUGGAAUAUUGCAAAAAUUGCCUGUCUGCGGGGAAAAAAGAUGUUAUCAUUUUCACAUCUCCUUUGUGAAGUUUUGCUCAAGACUGUCAUGCAACUUUGUGUGUGUGCACACAGGAGAUAACCAGAGGCUUCAACACUUCAGUUGGGCCAUGGGAGGGUGUGAGAGCUGAUAUCAUUAAGGGAAAUGAAAUGGCACCAAAAGUGGCACAUUCAGAAAGAAUACAGGAAUAAGAUGAUCUGCACACCAACAUCCCAUUAAAGUUAUUCAUUUAUUUAUUUAUUUCUGGCUUCCUCAGAUGCAAAAAAUGCUAAGCAUUUGCAUUUAGGCAUCAUAGCAUUUGUUAAGUCUGAGGAAGAGCUGUAGGGGUUGAAACCUCACGGCAAAUAAAAAAAAAACGCAAAAAAUGAGAGCUCCUUGGUGUGUGGAUCAAAAGAGACGUCUUUUCUAUGGUCUCAAAUGUGUCAUGGACUUAACCAGAUGUCCAAGCACACGGAUGUUGGGAAGAAUUGGGCAGAAAAGUCUGUGUGAUUCAGCAGGUGAUCAGAAGUACAGUCUUUGAAAAAAAACAAAAAAAAAACUGGAUACAACUCUAAUGACACAGAAGUCCCCUAACUCAACCCAAAUCGAUGUGAAAUGUAAUUCUUAUUGUUAUCUCACCUGAUCACUUUUUUCCUUUUGAGCCAUCGUUUUUUAUUCAAGCUGACAGGGCCUUCAGCAUAGCACAACAGCAGUUACACUGAAAUAGACUAUACAUUUGAUUCAAAAUGGGCCUUUCCCUUCUUUCCUUCUACAAAUCUAUAUGACAAACAUGUUACAUUAGUCAUAAUCAGUAGUCCCCUUUGGCUUGUGAAGAGUAUCUCUAUAGUGAAAUAGUCAUGUGAACCAGUUACAUUUCCCACAAAGCUAGAUGUGUGGUCUGUCUCUCUAAUGGAGGGAUUUUUAGUUGUAAUAACCAUUUGGUUGUCUUCAUUGAAUGUAAUUAUUGAUGUGUAUACAACUUCAGAGCAUUCAGAAGCUUACCAUAAUAACGCCCAGGUGGGCUGCAUCAUGGCUUUCUCAUGUGGGGACAAAAGAUGUCUGUUAUUAGUUCUGCCAAGUGUGGGAUUAACAUUGUGGUGUGUCUGAAAGAUCUGUUUAGGGCUCUGCAGGUGCCUUCCAGGUGAGCUUUUGAUGAUAAGCUGCACUGAGACUUAAAGUCCAACACAUGGCCUUUACAUGCUAUCUGUAUAAAAUUGCUGUUAUUUAUAAAAAUAUUUUAAAAAAAUAUUUCUCAUAAAGUCAUUGUUUUAGAUAUUGGUAAACAGGUAGUCCAUGUUGCAGGUAUCAACCAUGCCAAAACACAACUAUACAACAUGUACAACUGUAGCAUGUGUGUGUCCUUAAAGCCUAUGAAUCAGUGUCAUGCACCAAUGACUAGAGCAAGUAGAGGAACUUUUGCAAUAUAUCUCUGUGUCAGGGUAAACUGAUAAUUUAUUAGUGUAUUACAGAUUAAUUAAAAUGUUCUCACUUUA
Alosa alosa (allis shad) is the source of this 1643-nucleotide long non-coding RNA. RefSeq lists it as uncharacterized. The record is from RefSeq and is a predicted model, not a curated record. NCBI's taxonomy places the organism in Eukaryota, Metazoa, Chordata, Actinopteri, Clupeiformes, Clupeidae. The transcript is spliced from 2 exons.